Molecule: long non-coding RNA, 1826 nt
Organism: Tigriopus californicus
Lineage: Eukaryota; Metazoa; Arthropoda; Copepoda; Harpacticoida; Harpacticidae
Exons: 3
Source: RefSeq, a predicted model, not a curated record
CAGACACAUUGGCAGUGGUAAAUUCGUAUGAGUUAUGUAGUAAAUACGUUCCUCGAUGGUUGGAAGCCAGCUACUUGACAUUGGCAAAUGACAUUCAGUUGGUCACGUUUUGGAAGGGUUAAAAGUGCGUGUUUCUCCUAUGGACAGGGACAGCGACAGGGACAGGGAUCAUGUGCUUGAUUUGUCAUCUCAUGUUGAACAUGGAGACAGAUCGAGCGACCUUCAUCUAUAUGUGUAGUACAACUGUAUAUUGUGGUAUGUACUCAGGGCAAGGAAUUGAAAAGAGUUGGUCAUGACGUGAAAGUAGCGAACUCAGUAAGUGGCCCUAAAUCCCAAGUGGAUCUCCCAUGAGAAUUGAGGUCACAAAAGAAGAAGAAGCAUCGACUUGAAAGUAAUAUCUGUUGAAAAAGUUUUUUGUGCUGCUCCAUCUAGCGUUCAUCAAGAACGGCUUUAUACCUCCCAGCAGAAAGUUAUGAAGGUAGAUCAUAAUCGGUUCGUUUCUCGAAGCGGAGCCGAAGAAAAGGAUCCGCCUUUUAUCUCAUUUCCUUUUAUUUGAGAACAGGCCUAGACGAAUUGGUUUCACCUGGAAUAAAUGUCAUUUGAAUAGAAACGGACUGUCCGGGAAUUCUCGGCUGGGAAUGGCCGAAAGUGAAUUUAUGAACCAUGUCCACAAAAGAUUUAGUGGAAAAGUGCACCAAGGACAAUGAAAAUCCUCUUCGCCGUGGUUUACCCCAAAGUAACUAGUUCACUCACCCUAAUUCGAGGAGUAGCCGACAUCAGCCGUUUCCACUUCUCUUUCCCCAAAUCCAAACCACAUUCUAGGCCCAAGGCCAACCACUCUCCAAGAAUCGAAUUGGUCGUGUCUGCUCAACUCUUUGUGUUGAUCUAAUCCGGAACCCUGGAACCUCUCAUUUCAAAUCGACCAAUCUCCGUCCCCAGAUUCUUCCUGGUACCUUCCGAAACACAAAAAGCAUUUCUUGUGUGAGUACACGACUCAGUUUAUACCACAGGAUCCACUUUGGCAAUCUUCAUUGGACGUUCGAUUUUGAGGCGACCGCAUUUUCCAUUCUCGAUGGUGGGUGGGCACCUUCAAAGCCAGAACUAGUGCCCACGGCACCCACAAACUUGAAUUCCCUUUGAAGGCCUUCUUUUGCCACUCGUGUGGCAUUUGGUGAAUGAACAGUUCUAGUUUACAACCAUUGUACACGUACUCAAGCUGAACAACUCAGACGAGGAUUGGACGCGAUUUUCAUUGGAACGUUCGGAAAGCUACCAACCAACUAUUGUGUCUUGAAAUGCGGAAGGCCUGGUCAAAGUGAGGGAGGGAGAAGAGGUGAAGAAUCAAAUCCAGACAUGAAAGUUUCUCAAUCACCUUGUCAAAAAAAAAACAAAUUUCUUCUUUUUUCUCCUCAAAACUCCGUUUCACCGUGACAUGCUUGAAAACUGGACCUUCCUUCUUUCCUUCUUUCUUUAUAUGUCUUUCUUGACAAUCUCGAUCGAUCGAGUUUGAAAGUUGCUCCAUCGAACUUUUUCUCCUUUUUCGAACAACGAACAACAAAUCGAUCAAUGCUAUUUGUUUGAUGAAACCUGUUUGCUCAUGGACAAUCGCGUUCCUUUUUAACGACAUCCGUCCACUUUCCCCGGUUCAAUUAAUUCGACCUUAAAAUUGACCUUGUCCGCUCCCCAAGAGGCAAAUGGCCAAAAAUAUUACUAGGUUGAACCACAUAAGAAACAUCCGCAACCGAGACCGAAUGCAUCGAAAAAGAACUUUUUUUGUGUGUGUGUUGUUUUGACCCAAAGAAACUGUUCAUUUCGUUAACACCCAA